UCCGUAGGUGAACCUGCGGAAGGAUCAUUAGUGAAUAACAUGUCAAAGUCUCUGUUUCGGCAAGGCUUUGACAAUCACAUCCAUAACACCUGUGAACUGUAAGAUGCUUAGUGUUUCGGCACGGCAUCUGCCCUUUAUAAACAAUUAAUGUAACAAAUGUAGUCUUAUUAUAAUCAAUAAAACUUUCAACAACGGAUCUCUUGGCUCUCGCAUCGAUGAAGAACGCAGCGAAAUGCGAUAAGUAAUGUGAAUUGCAGAAUUCAGUGAAUCAUCGAAUCUUUGAACGCACCUUGCGCUCCUUGGUAUUCCGAGGAGCAUGCCUGUUUGAGUGUCAUGAAAAUAUCAACCAAGACUUGGGUUUUUGCUCUUGUUCUUGGCUUGGAAUUGGGUGCUUGCAAUCUUUACAGAUGGCUCACCUUAAAAGAAUUAGCUGGAUCUGUUCUGAGAAUUGGUUUGACUUGGCGUAAUAAGUAUUUCGCUAAGGACAUCUUCGGAUGGCCAAUACUCUUAACGAAUGUCCGCUUUCUAAUCCUGUUUCCUUUGGAGACUAUACUUUUAUGAUCUGGCCUCAAAUCAGGUAGGACUACCCGCUGAACUUAAGCAUAUCAAUAAGCGGAGGA
Molecule: ribosomal RNA, 620 nt
Filed under: Piskurozyma capsuligena
Lineage: Eukaryota; Fungi; Basidiomycota; Tremellomycetes; Filobasidiales; Piskurozymaceae
Description: eukaryotic LSU rRNA
Rfam family: 5.8S ribosomal RNA (bases 181-334)
Source: RNAcentral